CCUACGGGAGGCAGCAGUGGGGAAUAUUGCGCAAUGGGCGAAAGCCUGACGCAGCGACGCCGCGUGAGGGAUGAAGGUCCUAGGAUCGUAAACCUCCGUCAGCAGGGAAGAACGGUCACUGUGCUAAUCAGCAGUGAAUUGACGGUACCUGCAAAGGAAGCACCGGCUAACUCCGUCCCAGCAGCCGCGGUAAUAAGGAGGGUGCGAGCGUGAAUCGGAAUUACUGGGCGUAAAGCGCGCGUAGGUGGUAUGUCAAGUCAAGGGUGAAAGCCCCGCGCUCAACGGGGGAACUGCCUUUGAAACUGGCAGACUGGAGUGUGUUAGAGGAUAGUGGAAUUCGAGGUGUAGCGGUGAAAUCCGUAGAUAUCACGCAGAACCCCGAUUGCGAAGGCAGCAUACCGGUGCACAACUGACGCUCAGGCACGAAAGCGUGGGUAUCGAACAGGAUUAGAUACCCCGGUAGUC
RNAcentral lists this ribosomal RNA (465 nucleotides) under uncultured bacterium. Its description in RNAcentral is "partial 16S ribosomal RNA". It matches the Rfam family "Bacterial small subunit ribosomal RNA", at positions 338 to 795 of the family's 1533-position model. The record is from RNAcentral.